GCCGGCUUAGCUCAGCAGGUAGAGCACUGGCCUGUAAUCAGUAAGCCACCAGUUCGACUCCGGUAGCCGGUACCA
Molecule: transfer RNA, 75 nt
Filed under: Salmonella enterica
Lineage: Bacteria; Pseudomonadati; Pseudomonadota; Gammaproteobacteria; Enterobacterales; Enterobacteriaceae
Also listed under: 4 other names
Description: tRNA-Thr
Rfam family: tRNA
About the family: Transfer RNA (tRNA) molecules are approximately 80 nucleotides in length.
Source: RNAcentral